RNAcentral lists this small nucleolar RNA (81 nucleotides) under Cucumis melo (muskmelon). The record is from RNAcentral. Lineage: Eukaryota; Viridiplantae; Streptophyta; Magnoliopsida; Cucurbitales; Cucurbitaceae. RNAcentral also lists the same sequence under 1 other name.
CGGAGUGAUGAAAGACAGGGGAGGCUGCACCAGACUGACCAGAAAAUGAGGUAGCAAAAGAUCGCCCAGUACCAUCUGGAA